Molecule: small RNA, 173 nt
Filed under: Burkholderia sp.
Lineage: Bacteria; Pseudomonadati; Pseudomonadota; Betaproteobacteria; Burkholderiales; Burkholderiaceae
Description: Manganese sequence
Rfam family: Manganese Mn2+ riboswitch aptamer (yybP-ykoY)
About the family: This RNA was originally discovered in E. coli during a large scale screen and was named SraF. The family was later found to exist upstream of related families of protein genes in many bacteria, including the the yybP and ykoK genes in B. subtilis.
Source: RNAcentral
ACUCGUGCCCGUCUUUGGGGAGUAGCCUUCCUUCCGCAAUGGGAGGAGGACGCGUCAACAUACUCGGCGGGUGCCGUGGCGCGUUCGACCGGUCCGGUUUGGCGAGACCAUGGGUGCAUCUCGUCGUUCACGGUCGGACGGCGCGGGACAGCACCCUGGUUCGCAGACGUCCG